AGUCAAUAGAUACCCGGGUAGUCCAUGCCGUAAACGAUGAUUGCUAGGUGUGGGGGGUCUGACCCUUCCGUGCCGGAGUUAAACACAAAUAAGCAAUCCACCUGGGGAGUACGGCCGCAAGGUUGAAACUCAAAGGAAUUGACGGGGGCCCGCACAAGCAGUGGAGUAUGUGGUUUAAUUCGAAGCAACGCGAAGAACCUUACCAGGUCUUGACAUCCACCGAAUCCUGUAGAGAUACGGGAGUGCCCUUCGGGGAACGGUGAGACAGGUGGUGCAUGGUUGUCGUCAGCUCGUGUCGUGAGAUGUUGGGUUAAGUCCCGCAACGAGCGCAACCCUUGUGAAUAGUUGCUACGAAAGAGCACUCUAUUCAGACCGCCGUUGACAAAACGGAGGAAGGUGGGGAUGACGUCAAAUCAUCAUGCCCCUUAUGACCUGGGCUACACACGUACUACAAUGGUCGUCAACAGAGGGAAGCAAGACCGCGAGGUGGAGCGAACCCCUAAAAACGAAUCUCAGUUCAGAUUGCAGGCUG
This 532-nucleotide ribosomal RNA is filed under the name uncultured bacterium. RNAcentral describes it as "bacterial SSU rRNA". It matches the Rfam family "Bacterial small subunit ribosomal RNA", at positions 775 to 1307 of the family's 1533-position model. The record is from RNAcentral.